This 486-nucleotide ribosomal RNA is filed under the name uncultured bacterium. RNAcentral's name for it is "partial 16S ribosomal RNA". It matches the Rfam family "Bacterial small subunit ribosomal RNA", at positions 30 to 507 of the family's 1533-position model. The record is from RNAcentral.
AUUGAACGCUGGCGGCAUGCCUUACACAUGCAAGUCGAACGGCAGCACGGGUGCUUGCACCUGGUGGCGAGUGGCGAACGGGUGAGUAAUACAUCGGAACAUGUCCUGUAGUGGGGGAUAGCCCGGCGAAAGCCGGAUUAUUACCGCAUACGAUCUACGGAUGAAAGCGGGGGACCUUCGGGCCUCGCGCUAUAGGGUUGGCCGAUGGCUGAUUAGCUAGUUGGUGGGGUAAAGGCCUACCAAGGCGACGAUCAGUAGCUGGUCUGAGAGGACGACCAGCCACACUGGGACUGAGACACGGCCCAGACUCCUACGGGAGGCAGCAGUGGGGAAUUUUGGACAAUGGGCGAAAGCCUGAUCCAGCAAUGCCGCGUGUGUGAAGAAGGCCUUCGGGUUGUAAAGCACUUUUGUCCGGAAAGAAAUCCUUGGCCCUAAUACGGUCGGGGGAUGACGGUACCGGAAGAAUAAGCACCGGCUAACUACGUG